Molecule: long non-coding RNA, 6194 nt
Filed under: Sus scrofa (pig)
Lineage: Eukaryota; Metazoa; Chordata; Mammalia; Artiodactyla; Suidae
Description: lncRNA (ENSSSCG00030067225.1)
Source: RNAcentral
AGUGGACUCCAUGGUGAAGAAUCUGGAGAGAGAGAACCUCCAGAAGAUGCAGGGCUUCAUGUUCCGGUGCAGUGCCCACUGUUCUGAGGACAGCCGGGCAUCCAUGCAGCAGGUGCGCCAGUGCUUUGAGUGUUACCCUCCCCCCAUGCACCUCUGCCUCAAGCCCAGGCCCUGGUCACCAGCAAGUGGGAGGAGUUCCAGGACUGCCUGCUUUGCGCUGCGGUGACAAAGCCAAAGAUUCAACAGAUGUGGGGAGUACAGAGCUCCAGGUGAAGCGGCAGCUGGCAGGCGGUGUGACCAAGGGUGUGGACGGCCACAUGAGCCUCAUCCCAGCCAUGACCAGGAAGGUGAAGGCGUCCCUCUGGUCCAAGGGGAAGUAGACGUCUGCCGUUGGCCACUGGCGCUGAGGGCGGGGAGCUAUGUGAAAAGAGGGAUGGGGGCUCUGGGUCUUCUAAGCCAAGUUUAUGAAUGAAGAAAUUACAGAUGGAAGCAGGUUUAAGGCACCUGUCACUCGCCCCUGGACACUGGUUCCUUCGUGUUUCAGUCCUAGAAAGUGAAACGGGAAAAUGGAUCUGGGGCUAAAAUUUGGGUCAGGGAUCGCACGGGAGAGUUUUGGAGAGCCUCAGUUUCGCGUGGCAAGUGCCUAUCCUGGCAGCAGGGACCCGCCCGCAUAGCAGAGCCCUCCGACGUAUCAGAGUCCCUAGUACACAGAUACCAACAGGCUGGCAGCUUCCUCUAGCCUGCCUGGGACCUAGUGGCGUGUGAGGAGAGGUGUUUCUGCUUCUUGCCAGCCAACCUCCUAUUUACCAGAAGGAUGAACACACACCGAGCCAUUUUCCACAAACUACAAUAAAACAAAAUCCACAAGGUCACCAGUUUAGGAGGGGCUUCCAGGGUUUUAUUUUAUACACAAGGGUAUGAAGUUAGUUUGAGAUGUGGCGUUGGGAGCGGUAGUGCGGAUGAGAGCUUUGAAAGGGUCCCUGUGAGUACUCGUUUCUGGCCAUCGAGAUGUAGGCGUGCCUUACUUAAAAUGCUCACACGCUGACAUCGUUCGGCCUGGAGACCUUGCCGAGAUAUGAGAGGGGAUGUCGGACGGUGUGGGAAGCAGGUGUCCCUUUCACUGGCGGCCACGAUGGCCCUGAGGCUGCAGCAGAGGGACGGGACCGUCUUACGCUGACACUCACCCUUGAAGGAUCUCAGUUGCGUUCUGUACUAGGAUUCGGGAGUGCACAGUGCAAGAGGAACUGUCGUCUGCUUAAUUCAGAGAGUUGUGAAGGACUGGAUUUGGAAAAAUCUGGUUUUCAUAAAACAGAAUAGAACGAAAGCCUAAAUCCAGUUUUGCUUAUGUUGCCACUUAAAGAGCAGGGCUCUGUUGAGAUGAUCCCUUGGCAACGUGAAGGUCAAGGGAGAAAAAGUAAGCGACUCGGGGCUGGCUGUGACUCCUUGGAAGAGAGGAACAGGCCUCAGGAGCAAAUACCGCUUUUGCCAGGGCCUUUGUUCUUACCCCAGUUCGGGCACCUUAUUGUCUUUUUACCAGCUUAUUCCUUAAAGUGAAAAUAUAGCCUUUGUGUUUGCUGUUUUGAGACUGUGAUGUAUUUUCCUGGUGGUUUGGUUUUAAAAAUAAAUAAGGUUUAAUUGUUUUCUUCCCAAAACAAAAAAACUAAAAACCCCAAAGUAAGCUAUGCUACAGCUGAUGCAGGGUCCUCUCACCGCCAGUGGUGCCCAUUAGUCAGGGUGUGUGUGACUACCCUGGGUCGGCCCCUCCAGGGUAGUCACACACACAGCACCCCCAUCGCCUUGCUGCCAGGGUGCCCAUGCUCCCCCCGAGAUUCUUUAGUUCCGCCCCUGAGAAUGCUCCAGUGGGCAAUGUAGGGAGAGAUACCAUGCAUGUGCCCACAGGUGGCCCUGCCUUCAUCUUCAGAGCUAGAGAAGGCCUCCUGGAGGACUCGGUGCUGAAGCCGAGACCUAUUUCUGCUACAGAAAGCCCUGUGUGCAGCCACAAGCGCAAGGGCUCGGAUCACAGACCUUCAGAGUCAGGGAAACCUCAGCAGUUAUCGGGAUGUGGUUGCCAAUGUUUGUAAACCACCAGAGCUUCUUCAAAGGAAAAGUCUCUUGGCUCUUUAGAUGUAGGAGGCUGCUUUGGGUUGAUGGGUGAGGGGAGGAGGAGGCCAGAGACCUUCGUAGGGCACCCCCUUGCCCUCCUCUGUGGAUCCUGAACCACAGUGCGAGGAAACAACAGGUUGAACUGCCCCCCUCUCCCCCCCCUCUCCCGUGGCUGACCAAGAAGUGGAGGUCCAGAGAGGUAGAGAAACUUAACAAGGGCACACAGCAAGUUGUGUGAUGCAUGUUGUCGAUGGGCAGAUUUCUGGUCAUCCAUCCCUGGGCUCCCCAAAACCUUGAUACCCUUCUUGAGAGUCGAUAAUGUAGCCCAAUUAUCAGCUACUGUGAAUAAACUGUGGGACUUCUGCUCUAGGACCAGGUGCCUUUCUGACUUUAAUCCCAUCAGGAAAUAGCAUUUUGUUUGGUUGCUAUUUUUAUUUUGCAGACUGGCUGAGGUCUGUAGGCGGUCCUAAGUUAUGCAUGGUUGCCACUCCCAGCUACCAUGCAUCAAAAGCCCAUGACAUGCUGGGUACUGGGAAGUCCCCUCCUGUGUCACUUACUCUCCAUGGUUCAGGGAGAUUGGUAGAUGAGAAAACUGAGGCUGAAAGAAGUGGAGAAAAGAUUAAAAGCCCCUGCUCUUUGCAAGAGAUAUGCCACCUCCCCAGGAAGAUGAAGAUAAAUGUGAAAUGCCCUGGAUCGAGUAGAAUGAAAUUGCUAAAAAAAAAAAAAUCAGAGUGCCAUUUAAGGGUGAAGGUUGGACUGUGUGACUCAGGAGGAAAGGGAGGCCAGACCUGAGGCUGACCACAAGCGGAUGCAAGGCAGCCAAACAUCCAGCAGGGAUGGCUUGGGGUCUGAAAGGGUGGUAAGAAAGCAAGGAGUGAAAUGGCAAAAUUGUAGAAAAGGAGACUAGUUCCCUGGUUGUCAGGGUGGGAGAGGAGGUGUGGCUCUAAAAGGGCAGCAGGAAGGAUCCUGUGGUAUCAGAAAUGCUCUGUAUCCUCAUUGUAUUGAUGACCGCAUCUAGAAGUUAUAAUGUUGCAGUUUCGCAGGAUGUUAUCACUGGGGGAAAUGGUGACAAGGAUAUGGGAUUUCUCCCUGUUAUUUCCUAAAGCUCCAUGUGAAUCUGUAACUAUCUCAGCAAGUUUAAUUAAAAAUGUAUAGUUUCCAUUGUGGCUCAGCAGGUUAAGUAUCCAUGAGGAUAUGGGUUUGACACCUGGCCUCGCUCAGUGGGUUAAGGAUCCACUGUUGCUGUGGCUCUGGUGUAGGCCAGCAUCUGCAGCUCUGAUUCUACCCCUGGUCUGGGAACUUCCAUAUGCCAUGGGUACAGCCCCCAAAGGGGAAAAAAAUGUGUAUGUAAGGGCCCAGAAUCAAGAUGGCAGAGUGGUAAGAUGUGGAACACAGCUCUUUCCACUGUACAUCAAGAAUACAUCCGCACAUGGAACCGUUUUCACAGAACACCUACUGAACACUAGUGGAAGACCUCAAACAAGGACAAGAAAGAUCUCCAUGGGUAGGGAGAAAGGAAAAAAAAAAAAAAAGAGGAAGCGGGACGGGGCCCGCCCACCUGGGAGGGAGCUGAAGGAGAGGAGAGUUUCCUGCACCCUGGAAAGCCCCAUCAUCAGUGGGGAGAUCAGCCGAGACAGAAGAGGAGCUUCAGAGGCUCAGAGGAGAGAACAACAACUGGUUUGUGGCAGGCAGGAAACUCUCUACAUAGACAUUCCAUGCGACCACCUUGCAUACUCCAGCCUGAGACUCCUCUCUGCUAGUAGGGGUGGGGGUUGGGUGCUGGAACUUGGGGUUUGGUGGACAGGUCCUGGGAAAGAACUGGUGUUGACUGCGUGGUGACAGCCUAAAGGGACUGGAGCAUGGUACAGCUGUAAUUGAGAGUGUUCCAGAAUGAAUAAUGCAGAAGAACAAAUGAGUGAUCUGGAAGAUAGAAUAAUGGAAAUCACUCAGUUAGAACAGCAGACAGAAACCUAAACAAACAAAAAAAAUGACAUCUAUAUGAGACCUGUGGGCUAAUAGAAAGCAUGCCAGUCUAUGCAUAAUAGGGAUCUCAGGAAAAGAAAAAGAAGAGGGGAUUGGAAAUCUAUUUGAAUAAAUUAUGGCUGAAAACUUCCCAAAUCUAAAGAAGGAAAUAGAUAUCUAGAUACAGGAAGCACAGAGGGUCCCAAACAAUAUAAACUCAAACAGACCUACACCAAUACAUAUAAUAAAAAUGGCAAAAGUUAAAGAUAAAGAGAGGAUUCUAAAGGUGGUAAGAGGAAAGCACAGAGUUAAUGACAAGGGCGCCCCCAUAAGGCUAUCUGCUGAUUUUGCUGCAGAAGCAUUGCAGGCCAGAAGGGAGUGGCAAGAUUCAAAGUCCUUUCAGAGAAAACUGUAACCUAGGAUACCCAGCAAAAUUAUCAUUUAGAAGAGAAGAAGAGACAAAGAAUUUUUCAGACAAGGAAAAACUGAAAGAAUACAGAAAUACCAAACCUUUCCUAAAGGAAACAUUGAAAGGGAGUCUCCAAAUAGAAAAGAAGAAUUUAUAGGAAAACCACAAUUAGAAAGGAAAUCACUCAAAUAAGCCAGUACACAGAUUUCUAAAAAUUAAAACAUUUCUGUGAAAGUGAUGAUAACCUCAGUGAACAGCAAAAGGGUGAGCAUGAAGACGCAAAAGAGGACAUCGAAGUCAUAAAAUGCAGGGGAGGAGAGUACGAAAAUGUAGGGUUUUUUCCUAGAAUGCGAUUGAGCCUACAUGACUACCAGUCCAAAGCAAGUAGAAAUAGGAAUGAUAGCUAAUAAGAUGUAGCAUACUUGAAAAACAGGGCAAUACAAAUCAAAAAUAUAUGCAGUAGUUUCACAAAAUCCAAAACAGAUAGAACAUAAGUGCAAAACAAAAGAAAAUCAUCAAACCAUAAAAGGCAAAACAUAAAGAAAGGGACAAAGAAGAAAUAUAGAAUUAAUGGAAAAACAAGGGUUAAGGUGGCAAUAAAUACACACUUCUCAAUAAUUCCCUUAAAUAUCAGUGGACUAAAUACUCCAGUCAAAAGACAGUGACAGUUUGGAUAGAAAAAAAAUGUGAGAUGAGUCUACAAUAUGCUCUACAAGAGACCUAUUUUAGGGCAGAGAACACACGUAGAUUGAAAGUGAGGGGACAGAAAAAGAGUUCAUGUAAACAGAAAUAACAAGAAAGUGAAGUUUGCAUACUCAAAUCAGACAAAAUUGACUUUAAAACAAAGGCUAUAAAGAAAGAUAAAAAGGAUAUUAUAUAAUGACAAAAGGAUCAAUAGAGAGAAUAUUACACUCUUCAACAUAUGUGCAUCCAAUAUAGGAGCUCCCAAAUACAUAAAACAAACACUAAGAGAUAUAAAGGGAGACAUUGAUAAGAAUACAAUAAUAGUAGGAAGCUUUAACACUCCACUCACAUCAAUGGGCAAAUCUUUUGAGACAAAAAGUUAAAAAGGCAACAGAGAUCCUAAGUGAUGCAAUAGAACAGUUAGACUUAAGUGAUAUCUUCAGGACAUUACAUCCAAAAAAUGCAUAAUACACAUUCUUUUUAAGUGCACAUGGAACAUUUUCUAGGAUUGGCCACAUACUGGGGCACAAAAUAAGCUUCAACAAAUUUAAGAGUGUAUAGGAAUUAUUUCCAACAUCUUUUCUGACCACAGUGGCAUGAAACUAGAAAUCAACCACAGAAAAAGAAAUGAGAGUAAAAAACAACUACAUGGAGAUUGAAAAACAUGCUACUAAAAAUUAGUGGGUCAACAAUGAAAUCAAAGAGGAAAUUGGAAAAUAUCCUGAGGCAAAUUAUAAUGAAAACACAACCAUACAAAAUGCGUGGGAUGCAGCAAAAGCAGUUCUUAGAGGGACGUUCAUAGUGAUAUAGGCAUUUUUUUAAGAAACAGGAAAGUGAGUUCCCAUUGUGGCAUUGUAGGUUCAGAACCUGACAUAGUGUCUCUGAAAAUAUGAGUUUGAUCCCUGGCUUCACUCAGAGGGUUAAAGAUCCAGCAUUGCUUCAGGCUGUAGUGUAGGUCACAGGUGUCACCACUGUUGCUGUGGCUGUGGUGUAGGCUGUCAGCUGCUGCUCCAAUUCAACCCCUAUUCUGGGAACU